GGAUCUUAGACAAAAGGUCAGUCCAGGUACUAAAGAUGGAACCGUACAGAGGAGACGAGCUUGGCCUCUGGGCAAGGAUGACUUGCAACUUUAUGGAGGGCUCCAUAUUUUA
Molecule: small nuclear RNA, 112 nt
Filed under: Dasypus novemcinctus (nine-banded armadillo)
Lineage: Eukaryota; Metazoa; Chordata; Mammalia; Cingulata; Dasypodidae
Source: RNAcentral